This 468-nucleotide ribosomal RNA is filed under the name uncultured bacterium. RNAcentral describes it as "partial 16S ribosomal RNA". It matches the Rfam family "Bacterial small subunit ribosomal RNA", at positions 28 to 507 of the family's 1533-position model. The record is from RNAcentral.
GACGAACGCUGGCGGCGUGCUUAACACAUGCAAGUCGAACGGAAAGGCCCUGCUUUUGUGGGGUGCUCGAGUGGCGAACGGGUGAGUAACACGUGAGUAACCUGCCCUUGACUUUGGGAUAACUUCAGGAAACUGGGGCUAAUACCGGAUAGGAGCUCCUGCUGCAUGGUGGGGGUUGGAAAGUUUCGGCGGUUGGGGAUGGACUCGCGGCUUAUCAGCUUGUUGGUGGGGUAGUGGCUUACCAAGGCUUUGACGGGUAGCCGGCCUGAGAGGGUGACCGGCCACAGUGGGACUGAGAUACGGCCCAGACUCCUACGGGAGGCAGCAGUGGGGAAUAUUGCAUAAUGGGCGGAAGCCUGAUGCAGCAACGCCGCGUGCGGGAUGACGGCCUUCGGGUUGUAAACCGCUUUCGCCUGUGACGAAGCGUGAGUGACGGUAAUGGGUAAAGAAGCACCGGCUAACUACGUG